GGGGAUGCAACGGUUUCGACAGGGAAUGUGAAGUAUGGUAAGCGAGUAGAGGAGAUGCCAGCUCUAUAAAAGGCAUACCUAAAUUUUAAACGCUAAAAAUAAUAAUAGCUAUAACGAACUUUGCGCAGCUUAAUUAAGCUUGCCCGUCUUAGGAUGACCUGACCACCCGUCGCCUAACACGCUUAUUUUAUUUGUGGUGAACUUUAUCCAGGGUGCCUUGACUGGAAUAAGGUCUAAUGAAGGCUUAUCCUGGCAACAGUUUGUCUGUUAAUAGUUUCCAGGAGACAUUCUUUAACAGACUACACUCGUAGAAAACUAUAUGAAUCGUUUUUUGGACACGGGUUCGACUCCCGUCAUCUCCACCA
RNAcentral lists this transfer-messenger RNA (365 nucleotides) under Massilioclostridium coli. Its description in RNAcentral is "Standard tmRNA". It matches the Rfam family "transfer-messenger RNA". From Rfam's summary of the family: Bacterial tmRNA, also known as 10Sa RNA or SsrA, is named for its dual tRNA and mRNA-like properties. Its role is to liberate the mRNA from a stalled ribosome. The record is from RNAcentral. Lineage: Bacteria; Bacillati; Bacillota; Clostridia; Eubacteriales; Clostridiaceae. RNAcentral also lists the same sequence under 1 other name.